Molecule: ribosomal RNA, 280 nt
Filed under: Escherichia coli
Lineage: Bacteria; Pseudomonadati; Pseudomonadota; Gammaproteobacteria; Enterobacterales; Enterobacteriaceae
Description: partial 23S ribosomal RNA
Rfam family: Bacterial large subunit ribosomal RNA
Source: RNAcentral
UGAGGGGGGCUGCUCCUAGUACGAGAGGACCGGAGUGGACGCAUCACUGGUGUUCGGGUUGUCAUGCCAAUGGCACUGCCCGGUAGCUAAAUGCGGAAGAGAUAAGUGCUGAAAGCAUCUAAGCACGAAACUUGCCCCGAGAUGAGUUCUCCCUGACUCCUUGAGAGUCCUGAAGGAACGUUGAAGACGACGACGUUGAUAGGCCGGGUGUGUAAGCGCAGCGAUGCGUUGAGCUAACCGGUACUAAUGAGCCGUGAGGCUUAACCUUACAACGCCGAAG